RNAcentral lists this transfer RNA (77 nucleotides) under Nocardioides marmorisolisilvae. Its description in RNAcentral is "Marmoricola solisilvae tRNA-Pro". It matches the Rfam family "tRNA". Rfam says of the family: Transfer RNA (tRNA) molecules are approximately 80 nucleotides in length. Their secondary structure includes four short double-helical elements and three loops (D, anti-codon, and T loops). Further hydrogen bonds mediate the characteristic L-shaped molecular structure. tRNAs have two regions of fundamental functional importance: the anti-codon, which is responsible for specific mRNA codon recognition, and the 3' end, to which the tRNAs corresponding amino acid is attached (by aminoacyl-tRNA synthetases). tRNAs cope with the degeneracy of the genetic code in two manners: having more than one tRNA (with a specific anti-codon) for a particular amino acid; and 'wobble' base-pairing, i.e. permitting non-standard base-pairing at the 3rd anti-codon position. The record is from RNAcentral. Lineage: Bacteria; Bacillati; Actinomycetota; Actinomycetes; Propionibacteriales; Nocardioidaceae.
CGGGCUGUAGCUCAGCUUGGUAGAGCACUUGACUGGGGGUUAAGGGGUCACAGGUUCAAAUCCUGCCAGCCCGACCG